RNAcentral lists this ribosomal RNA (391 nucleotides) under uncultured bacterium. RNAcentral describes it as "bacterial SSU rRNA". It matches the Rfam family "Bacterial small subunit ribosomal RNA", at positions 505 to 898 of the family's 1533-position model. The record is from RNAcentral.
GUGUCAGCAGCCGCGGUAAUACGGAGGGUGCAAGCGUUGUCCGGAUUUAUUGGGUUUAAAGGGUGCGUAGGCGGCCUUAUAAGUCAGUGGUGAAAGCCCAUCGCUCAACGAUGGAACUGCCAUUGAUACUGUAAGGCUUGAGUACAGACGAGGUAGGCGGAAUUGAUGGUGUAGCGGUGAAAUGCAUAGAUACCAUCAAGAACACCGAUUGCGUAGGCAGCUUACUAGGCUGUAACUGACGCUGAGGCACGAAAGCGUGGGGAGCGAACAGGAUUAGAUACCCUGGUAGUCCACGCUGUAAACGAUGAUUACUCGAUGUUGGCGAUACACAGUCAGCGUCUUAGCGAAAGCGUUAAGUAAUCCACCUGGGGAGUACGCCCGCAAGGGUGAA